This 253-nucleotide ribosomal RNA is filed under the name uncultured bacterium. Its description in RNAcentral is "partial 16S ribosomal RNA". It matches the Rfam family "Bacterial small subunit ribosomal RNA", at positions 524 to 776 of the family's 1533-position model. The record is from RNAcentral.
UACGAAGGUGGCGAAUGAUACUCGGAUUUACUGGGCGUAAAGCGUCCGCAGGUGGUUUAUCAAGUCAGGUGUGAAAUCCCCGUGCUCAACAUGGGAACUGCAUUUGAAACUGCUAGACUAGAAGAUAGAAGAGGUAGGUAGAAUUCUCGGUGUUGAGGUGAAAUUCGUAGAUAUCGAGAGGAAUACUCAUGGCGAAGGCAGCCUACUGGUCUAUUCUUGACACUCAGGGACGAAAGCGUGGGGAGCAAACAGG